RNAcentral lists this long non-coding RNA (644 nucleotides) under Chinchilla lanigera (long-tailed chinchilla). RNAcentral describes it as "lncRNA (ENSCLAG00000025173.1)". Lineage: Eukaryota; Metazoa; Chordata; Mammalia; Rodentia; Chinchillidae. The record is from RNAcentral.
GCCGAACACUGCAGAGCAUCUUAACAAAUUUGGAGACAGGAAGAGAAAACCACAGACUCUAACAGCAAAGCUGUCCUGGAAAACUGCACCUGGUCCUUGGUCUGACAAGAGCUCAGUGCGUGCUGUGCGCCCCCUGCUGUCCUGAGCGCCCCUGCAGGGAGGUUUGUGUCUGGGCUCACACUGACGUCCCCUCACUGUGUCUCUCGCACAGUAAUACACGGCCGUGUCCUCGGUUCUCAGGAUGCUCAGUGUUAGUGAAACUUGGCUCUUGGAAGUGUCCCUGCUGAUGCGCACUCGGGACUGAAGGGCUGAGUUAUAAUAUGUGCUUCCACUAUCCCAUAUAGCACCAAUCCACUCCAGCCCCUUCGCUGGAGCCUGACGGACCCAGUGCAUAUGAUAACUGGUUAAGGAGAAUCCAGAGAUGGCACAAGUGAGGGACAGGGUCUCUGAAGGCUUCACCAGGCCAGGUCCUGACUCCUGCAGCUGCACCAGAGACAAGACACUCACAGCAGGGCGCUGCCACCAGGCAGAGGAGCAGAGCCAAGAACUCCAUGCUGGAUGAAGGCUCCUGUGGGAGGAGACUGGGGCUGCUCAGGCAGGACUGGCUUUUCAUCCUGAGCCUGGGGCUGCUUUGCAUGGGGGAG